Molecule: long non-coding RNA, 1692 nt
Filed under: Homo sapiens (human)
Lineage: Eukaryota; Metazoa; Chordata; Mammalia; Primates; Hominidae
Description: non-protein coding lnc-PJA1-4:3
Source: RNAcentral
AAUCUGAGUGUGCGGCUCGUGCGGUUAGGGUUGGGUCCCUCUCAGUCCUGUUCCCAGAGAGCUCAACCCGUGGGAAGUUGGCACUCUCAAGAGCUGCCGGCCUGCUCUCCUCUCCACGCGUCUGGUCAACACCCCAGCCCACUGACCCUGUCCCAAGUACCCCAGGAAAGUAUUUCCAUUUUCUUUUUACACACAGGACCCCUGAAGUCCUGCUCUGUGCCCACCUCCGUGUCAAGGACAGCCUGUCUGCUCCUCGUCCAGUCCCACGUAAGGCUUUAGUGGGCUUUCCUCCUCUCGCCCUCAAAAUGCACUGUCUGCUUGCACUUGGACCCGGAGUCAGGAACAUAAAAGUGAGAACAGUGGGAGGGGGAAACUGGUGAGGGUCCAGUACUUGAUUGGGGUUAGAGGUGGGGCGGGGAGCAGGGUGGGGUGUGGUGGGGAGAGAAGGCGUGUUCAUCGCCCCUGGGGACCAGGCCUUCGGAAUCUCAGCUUUCUGGGGGAGCCUUGUGGGACCUCUGGAGCCAAGAUUUAGUCUUGUCCUGUCCGAAGGCGCGGGCAAGGUCCCGGGAUAGGCAAGCGGGGAUGAGAGGGCACGUCGAUAAAGAAAGACACCUCGAGGGCAAAGAGGAAAAAGCACAGGGCAUGAGACUUUUGAAAAAGCAAAAGCGGGCAUCCUGGACCGGAGAAGCCGGACUCCAGCCUGUCCCGGCCUCGCCAUCUGGGUCUUUGUCUCCCAGCCCUGGCCCAUUCUUCCCGCCCCGCCUUGCCUCUUUGCUUAUAACUUGGCUCGAUCCCAUAGCUCAGACCUUCCAGGUCCGACCCACUCUCGCUGGUCGGACCCCAGAGGACGUACCCACGUGCUAAUGUCUCCCCCUGCUGGACUUCCAUAGCACUGCGGGCGCCUGGGAUAAACCCGGAGCUUGCCAUAGCACAAGACCUGGGACAGGCGUAGCCUUGGCAAAAACCGUCACCCUGUAUGGGGAGGAAGGGAAAGAACUAGAAGGAUAUCUGAGUUUGGGGUAGGCUUAGGGACUGCCAAGAAUACAAGGUCUCCCCACUUUUUCUUUAUGGAGAUAAUUAGAUGAGCAACAUUCCCAAAGUGCUCCACCAUUCACACAGUUUCAUGUCCAUCAUCUCGCUUAAUAGGUGACUGAGCUACUGCGUUUCUCAGUGGAUCCUCUGAUGAUCUUUGUGGCUGUAGAGGUGGGAAUAGCCCAGAUUUUGUCUUUUUAUUUUCUCCCAAAUAGAGGAGAAAAUAGGGAAAAUCUGGGCCCUUCCCACUUCCAGGGGCAGCCCUUGAGGGUGAAGUGGCUCUGGGUAGGUAGGGAAAGAAGGAGCUGUUUGGGGUCUCUGAGCUCUCAGCUGGACCCUGCAUUGGGGUGUAAGGAAGGAGAGAUGAGAUGAAUAGGGUGUAGGGACACACCAGUAGUCUAGCUGGGAGACUGGGAUCCCUGGAGUGCAUGCUAGGACAUCAAAACCUGAAUACAGAAAGCAGCCUGCUGCUUACUGAGUGCCUACUAUUGUCAAGAACCAAGUUAGAUGCUUUUCCUUUCAUAACCUUUUGAAAUGAGUUUCAGUAUCCCCAUUUUACCUACAGGGGAAAGUAAGGCUCAGAGAGAAGUGACUCAUCUGAGAUCACCAAGCUGAUCAGUGGUGAAAGCAGGAUUUGACUCCUGGGACAUCUGUCUCCAA